RNAcentral lists this ribosomal RNA (423 nucleotides) under uncultured bacterium. Its description in RNAcentral is "bacterial SSU rRNA". It matches the Rfam family "Bacterial small subunit ribosomal RNA", at positions 355 to 775 of the family's 1533-position model. The record is from RNAcentral.
UGAGGAAUAUUGGUCAAUGGGCGCAAGCCUGAACCAGCCAUGCCGCGUGCAGGAAGACGGUCCUAUGGAUUGUAAACUGCUUUUAUUGGGGAAUAAACCUUUCUACGUGUAGGAAGCUGAAGGUACCCAAUGAAUAAGCACCGGCUAACUCCGUGCCAGCAGCCGCGGUAAUACGGAGGGUGCAAGCGUUAUCCGGAAUCAUUGGGUUUAAAGGGUCCGCAGGCGGGAAAAUAAGUCAGUGGUGAAAUCUUACAGCUUAACUGUGAAACUGCCAUUGAUACUGUUUUUCUUGAAUUCGAUCGGAGUGGGCGGAAUGUGACAUGUAGCGGUGAAAUGCUUAGAUAUGUCACAGAACACCGAUAGCGAAGGCAGCUCACUAGGUCUGGAUUGACGCUCAGGGACGAAAGCGUGGGGAGCAAACAG